RNAcentral lists this ribosomal RNA (253 nucleotides) under uncultured bacterium. RNAcentral's name for it is "partial 16S ribosomal RNA". It matches the Rfam family "Bacterial small subunit ribosomal RNA", at positions 524 to 776 of the family's 1533-position model. The record is from RNAcentral.
UACAGAGGGUGCAAGCGUUAAUCGGAAUUACUGGGCGUAAAGGGUGCGUAGGCGGCUUUCUAAGUUGGAUGUGAAAACUCGGGGCUUAACCCCGAGCCUGCAGUGGAUACGGGCAGACUAGAAGUAGGUAGGGGAGAAUGGAAUUCCCGGUGUAGCGGUGAAAUGCGCAGAUAUCGGGAGGAACACCGGUGGCGAAGGCGGUUCUCUGGGCCUUACCUGACGCUGAGGAGCGAAAGCGUGGGGAGCGAACAGG